Molecule: ribosomal RNA, 253 nt
Filed under: uncultured bacterium
Lineage: Bacteria
Description: partial 16S ribosomal RNA
Rfam family: Bacterial small subunit ribosomal RNA
Source: RNAcentral
UACGGGGGGAGCAAACGUUGUUCGGAAUCACUGGGCGUAAAGGGCGUGUAGGCGGCUGGAUAAGUGGGAUGUUAAAUCCCCCGGCUCAACCGGGGACCUGCAUCUCAUACUGUUCAGCUCGAGCACAUCAGAGGAGACUGGAAUUCCCGGUGUAGCGGUGAAAUGCGUAGAUAUCGUAAGGAAGACCAGUGGCGAAGGCGGGUCUCUGGACAGUUCCUGACGCUGAGGCACGAAGGUCAGGGGAGCAAACGGG